This 253-nucleotide ribosomal RNA is filed under the name uncultured bacterium. RNAcentral describes it as "partial 16S ribosomal RNA". It matches the Rfam family "Bacterial small subunit ribosomal RNA", at positions 524 to 776 of the family's 1533-position model. The record is from RNAcentral.
UACGUAGGGUCCGAGCGUUGUCCGGAAUUAUUGGGCGUAAAGGGCUCGUAGGCGGUUUGUCGCGUCGGGCGUGAAAACACGGGGCUUAACCCCGUGCCUGCUUCCGAUACGGGCAGACUAGAGGUAUGCAGGGGAGAACGGAAUUCCUGGUGUAGCGGUGAAAUGCGCAGAUAUCAGGAGGAACACCGGUGGCGAAGGCGGUUCUCUGGGACGGUACUGACGCUGAGACGCGAAAGCGUGGGGAGCGAACAGG